Long non-coding RNA from Ostrea edulis (European flat oyster), 1175 nucleotides. RefSeq lists it as uncharacterized. The transcript is spliced from 4 exons. NCBI's taxonomy places the organism in Eukaryota, Metazoa, Mollusca, Bivalvia, Ostreida, Ostreidae. The record is from RefSeq and is a predicted model, not a curated record.
AAAAUAUUGAGCCAUGGAAGUCUUCAUUUGAAAGGAAAAUUUAGUGAUAAUUUAUUUUACAUGGCAUUUGCAUACUUAGAUGAUAUUGAGCCUCCUGCAAGGCAAAAUUACGUAACAGACCUCUUAACAGAUUAAGCGCCGCUAAGAGAGCAGCCAUUGAAGUUUAAUUUAUGACGUCAUAUCGUCGGUUCCGGUCUAUUUCAUCGACAGCACUGUAAACAGGACAAAUCCCUGGCACGAACAGUUAAAUUUGGAGCCGUAUAGAUUUGAGCCCGUUCUUUCGCAAGAAGAAAUUAAGAAAAGAAGACGUUCAGUCGAGUCGCAGACCAGGCAGACGAUGACUUGGUUGGGUCAGGAAUUUUGAGGAAAAUACACCUUUUUUCACAUCCCCCCUUUGCAUUCGUGGAAUUAACUGAUUGACAGGAAGGCAUCAACCUAUCUAUUCGUAAAAUCUACCACAUGCACAUCUUUGAUGAUCUUAGAAUCUCAUCAAAACCGGAACAGACUGUGACGUCAAAAUUAUUGAUUUUUGUGGUCUUGAAUACAAAAGAGUUCCACAUCAUGACAGCCUCUGUCAGAAUUUCAUUUUUCAACGUUUUCAGAUUAGUACUGAAGUUUAUCUAGGCCGUAUAUUGAUCAGCAGUAUAGUAUCAUCACAUGUACUAUACACGUAUCAACACUUCGCCGCGAGUUACGUCCCUUUGCGGGGUCAACCAAAGGUCAAUCGGUGAAAAACCAAGUUUUCCUUCUUUACCUUAUCAAUGUAAGAUGUUAUUACUUUGAAUUUUAGCCAAUUACCAAGUUUUCAUACAAGUUAAUGGGUUGCCCCAAUCUGGGGCAUAUUGUAGUUGACUGCAAUUGAUGGAAAAAUAACAGAUAUCAAAGCUACAGAGAGGAAAAUUACAAAGGCCAAUGUAGGGAAAUACGAUUUUUAUCCGGGAGAUGGCGGACAAGGGACGUAACUUUCGCGAAGUGUUGAUAUCGUCAUAACCAGUUUGAUAUAAUAGUACAUGUAUUCAUAACAUUUUCAUGAAAUUGUUUCUUCAAAAAAAUAUACAAAAUGUCUGUGAAAAAUAAAGAAAAUCUAUCACUUAAUUGAUAAAGAAAUCAAUAAAGCAGUUAUUGCCCUUGGAUUCAAUAUUUCGAAUAAAGUGUCACUCACUGAUCCUCGUGGC